AUCACUUAAUCAGAGGAGAGUGAGGCGAUCUGGCUGGGCUGCUCUUCUUCGGGGACGUCGCCGUUUACUUGCCCGCGCCAACGGCCAGCUACUCGCCGGGAUUCGCCGUGUGCCCAUGUACAGCCGCCUUCCAGAAGCCAUCCGAGGGGCGGCCCGCAACGCUCGCGCGGAGGUCCCGACUUAGGAGGUGGACGAGGCUGUGUGGCUCGCGGCUGAGCUGCUCUUAGCCUGGGUCGCCAUCGUCUCCGUGCGCCACGCUGACAGGAAGCUGGUCGCCGAGUUCCCGGGCAUUCGCCGCGCACCCAGGUACUCCGACGCCUCCCCAGUAGCUGUCCGAGCGGCGGACCGCGACGCUCGCGCGAGUGUCCAAUGGCUCCGGUGGUCUGAUGAGCGUGGCUGCCGGCCAUGGCCGUGGUCGUGUGCCACUGCCUCUCCCGCUGCCGCUGGAAUGACGGAGGCUCGCGGCCAAGAUCCGGGGAGAAGGAGCUCCGUGACGGCGAGCUCCUCUAGGAGCAGGGCGACCACGUACUCCAAGAGCACGACGAUGACGACAAGCUUGAGGCUCCUUCGGGCAACCUUAACAAGGAGGAGGGUGGCAGCUGGAUGAGGGUUAAAAUCACGCCGGAGUCACCGUGUUGUCCUCUGACGACACAGCCGGCGCCCCAUGAUCUUCAGCACGGUGGCGGCGCGGCGGCUGGACCUCCCUGCCAGCCUGCCCGGCCAAACUCCACAAGCUGCAGCUCACGGAUCCAAUCCAAGAAACGUCCUGCCAGCUAGUGCCAUGGUUCCCCCACGGAAGGGGCAGGGAGUUCUAGCGAAGCUUUAUACAAGGAGCUAUGGCAUGCUUGGGCUAGGCCGUUGAUCACAGUGCCUCACCAAGCAGCACAGACCAAAAGGGAGUGAGAAGCAACCCUUAUUCAUCCCCCUUCAUGCCAUUCAAAGGGAACCAUAUCGAUCAGCAAAGGGCCAAUUAGUCAGCACUGAAACAGAAUAAAUAUUCACCAGGCAAUAAAACGCGGAAUUAUCAGUUAUGAUGGUGGGUUUUGUAGCUUCACUAAACAGGGCAUUGUGUUGUUAUGACACUGACCUUAUCUUUACAAUAGAACAUGUUCUAAAAAAAUAGUUCAAUCUUCAUGUAACUUCAUAAUUGUGUAUGAUCUAUUAAAUUUUGCUAAUUAAACGUGAUAUUCACUAUUUAAUUGUGUAUGAAAAGCAGUUGAUUUCUAACCUUUUUGGGUGUAAAAAAUCAGUUCAUGUGAAUGGCCAGAUAAACCUGUAGCAAAGACGGUCGGGGACUCAGGUAUUAAGCAAGAUGUUCUGCAGUACGUAGUAAUUAUUCAGUUACCAUUUCUGUGAAUGCAUAGAAGAUAUGUUGCAGGUCAAACACGAAACAAAGCAUGAUCAACCAAGGUCAAAACUAGCAUCUUCCAUGAAAUGAAUUAAUCCAUAUCUGCAGUCAAAUACAACUGCCAGUCAGUUAAGAAAAGCUACAGUCCAUUCAAGCUGAAAAAUAAUAAAAUUCGUAAACCCCACUUCUUUGAGCUUGAGAACUCUA
Molecule: long non-coding RNA, 1555 nt
Organism: Triticum dicoccoides
Lineage: Eukaryota; Viridiplantae; Streptophyta; Magnoliopsida; Poales; Poaceae
Exons: 3
Source: RefSeq, a predicted model, not a curated record